AAGGAUCAUUAUUGGAAUGAAAUAUCUAGCAAGAGGCUGUUGCUGUCUAGUAAUGUGCACGCCUUUUGUGGAAAAAUAAACCCUUAGCAGCAACUUGUUUCGAUCAAGUGACCUCAGGGUUAUGGGCCCUGCGCGCUUCCACUGCGCCAUGCUGCUGUGUGGGGACUUAUUUCUUCUCCCUGUGCACCACUUGUAGACUUUGUCUGUCUAUGAAUCACAUAACCUUUAUGAAUGUAUCUUUGUGGCCCAUUAAUAUAUAUAUAUACAACUUUCAACAAUGGAUCUCUUGGCUCUCGCAUCGAUGAAGAACGCAGCGAAAUGCGAUAAGUAAUGUGAAUUGCAGAAUUCAGUGAAUCAUCGAAUCUUUGAACGCAUCUUGCGCUCUUUGGUAUUCCGAAGAGCAUGCCUGUUUGAGUGUCAUUAAUCUCUCAAAACUUCAUUUUUAUGAAGUAAUUUGGAUAUUGGGAGUCAUUGCUGAUGGCUGUUGAAGCUCAGCUUUCCUUAAAUUCCUUGAGGACGAAAUGUUGGUGUGUGAUAAUAAUUGUCUAUACCAAACAAGUCCUUUUGCUAUCUUAAUGAUUGACCUCAAAUCAAGCAAGAUUACCCGCUGAACUU
RNAcentral lists this ribosomal RNA (615 nucleotides) under Amanita calyptroderma. RNAcentral describes it as "eukaryotic LSU rRNA". The stretch from base 267 to 420 matches the Rfam family "5.8S ribosomal RNA". Lineage: Eukaryota; Fungi; Basidiomycota; Agaricomycetes; Agaricales; Amanitaceae. The record is from RNAcentral.